CCCUUAGAUGUUCUGGGCUGCAUGCGUGCUACACUGAUAUUGCCAAUAUGUCAUUCUUAUCCGAAAUGGAUUGGGUAAUCAAGUAAUGAAAUUUCAUGCUUGGAAUCGGUAAUUGCAAUUUUAUCGUGAACGAGGAAUUCCUAGUAAGCACUAGUCAUCAGCUAAUGUUGAUUAUGUCCCUGCCCUUUGUACACACCGCCCGUCGCUACUACUGAUUGGGUGUUCAAGUGAGAUGCUUAGACCCUUGUUGCAUGGUUCAUUAUUGUGCUCCGAAAGGAAAAAGUUUCAAGCUUGAGUGUCUAGAGGAAGUAAAAGUCGUAACA
RNAcentral lists this ribosomal RNA (323 nucleotides) under uncultured eukaryote. RNAcentral's name for it is "partial 18S ribosomal RNA". It matches the Rfam family "Eukaryotic small subunit ribosomal RNA", at positions 1470 to 1796 of the family's 1831-position model. The record is from RNAcentral.